This 253-nucleotide ribosomal RNA is filed under the name uncultured bacterium. RNAcentral's name for it is "partial 16S ribosomal RNA". It matches the Rfam family "Bacterial small subunit ribosomal RNA", at positions 524 to 776 of the family's 1533-position model. The record is from RNAcentral.
UACGUAGGGUGCAAGCGUUGUCCGGAAUUAUUGGGCGUAAAGAGCUCGUAGGCGGUUUGUCGCGUCGAAUGUGAAAACCCGGGGCUCAACCCCGGGCCUGCAUUCGAUACGGGCAGACUAGAGUUCGGUAGGGGAGUCUGGAAUUCCUGGUGUAGCGGCGAAAUGCGCAGAUAUCAGGAGGAACACCGGUGGCGAAGGCGGGACUCUGGGCCGAUACUGACGCUGAGGAGCGAAAGCGUGGGGAGCAAACAGG